Molecule: long non-coding RNA, 1004 nt
Organism: Sapajus apella (tufted capuchin)
Lineage: Eukaryota; Metazoa; Chordata; Mammalia; Primates; Cebidae
Exons: 3
Source: RefSeq, a predicted model, not a curated record
CCAAUUUCUCUGGUCAGGAAUCUGUGAGCAGCUUAGUUGGGUAGCCCUGGCUCAGGGCCUCUCACAAAGCUGCAGUCAAGCUGUUGGCCAGGUCUUCUUCUCCAGCCCAUGGGGGCUGGAGGAUCUCGUCCACACUCACCCAUAUGGCUGCUUUCAGGCCUCACUUCCUCACUGGCUGUUGGGCACCUUACCAUGUGGCCUCUUCAUAGGCUGCCUGAGUGUCCUUUUCAAAUGGCAAGUGGCUUUUUCCAGAAUGGCAUAUCCAAGAGAGAAAGAGAAAAGAAAAGAAGAGACAAGGAGAACCCACUGUAGAGGCUUCAGUCUUGUAAAACCUAACCUCGGAAGUGACACAUACCAUCCUUUCUGCCAUCAUUGGUCACUUUAGACCAGCUGUGGUCCACUGCAGGCCAGGGCUCCAUGAGGGUGUGAACGCGAGGAGGUGGGACUGCUGUGGGGCGCCCUCAGAAGCUGCCUCCCUUAGACAACAAGGACACAGUCCGUCCUCACUGCUGGACGUAGGUGGUAAAGUCCCAGGAGCAACAGCUCCAGGAAAUCACAGAGGGUGGGGAGGGGCAUUUCCCAAAAAGAUCAUGUAGUGCAAACCAAAAGUAUACAUCUGCCACAAAUAAAUACUGCAAUCUACUUCCUCAUCAACUGACUCAAGGAGGGCUGCGUAGGCCAGGCUGAACCUCCAUGAAGGCAUCCUUCCUCUACCCGGGUUUCCAUACAUUCCUGCAGAAGAGCAGCCCAGUGCCCAAAGUCCUGCGGUUUUCUACAAGCCUGUUUGAGAGACAAAGCAUAAUCAUCACUGACUGUAGAAGACAGUAAUGAAAAACAGAUAAGACAAAAGAAAAAAUCCAUAAUUCACUCUCAAAGAUGUUCUCACUAAGUCUUCCAGACUUUUUAGUCUGUCUAUAACAUAAGGCUGCAAAAUUGGGACCAUACUUAAUAUAAGGAUGUGGGUUUUUUAACUUAAAAACAUAUAAUCAAAAAAAUUACUUUAA